RNAcentral lists this ribosomal RNA (277 nucleotides) under Pavlova sp. CCMP459. Its description in RNAcentral is "partial Eukaryotic small subunit ribosomal RNA". It matches the Rfam family "Eukaryotic small subunit ribosomal RNA", at positions 732 to 1011 of the family's 1831-position model. The record is from RNAcentral. Lineage: Eukaryota; Haptophyta; Pavlovophyceae; Pavlovales; Pavlovaceae.
AUGUGCAGAAUACUACUUAGUUACUUUGAGGAAAGUGGAGUGUCACACGCAGGUUGCGCCGUGAACAUGCUAGCAUGGCAUGACGCUGUAUGACUACGAGUCUUUUUGAACGGUUUCGGGACACGUGGUAAUGAUUGAUAUGAGGUGUUGGGGAUACUCAUAUUUGACAGUUAGAGGUGAAAUUCUUGGAUUUGUCAAAGAUGAACAAAUGCAAUAGCAUUUAUCAUGGAUGUUUCAUUUGAUCAAGAACGAAAGUUAGGGGAUCGAAGACGAUCAG